RNAcentral lists this ribosomal RNA (492 nucleotides) under uncultured bacterium. RNAcentral's name for it is "bacterial SSU rRNA". It matches the Rfam family "Bacterial small subunit ribosomal RNA", at positions 9 to 501 of the family's 1533-position model. The record is from RNAcentral.
GAGUUUGAUCCUGGCUCAGGAUGAACGCUGGCGGCGUGCUUAACACAUGCAAGUCGAACGAAGCACUUGAGAUUGAAUCUUCGGAUGAGAACUCUUGUGACUGAGUGGCGGACGGGUGAGUAACGCGUGGGUAACCUACCUCAUACAGGGGGAUAACGGUUGGAAACGACCGCUAAUACCGCAUAACCCGCUAGUAUCGCAUGAUACAGACGGAAAAGAUUUAUCGGUGUGAGACGGACCCGCGUCUGAUUAGCCAGUUGGCAGGGUAACGGCCUACCAAAGCAACGAUCAGUAGCCGGCCUGAGAGGGUGAACGGCCACAUUGGGACUGAGACACGGCCCAAACUCCUACGGGAGGCAGCAGUGGGGAAUAUUGCACAAUGGGGGAAACCCUGAUGCAGCGACGCCGCGUGAGUGAGGAAGUAUUUCGGUAUGUAAAGCUCUAUCAGCAGGGAAGAAAAUGACGGUACCUGACUAAGAAGCCCCGGCUAAC